This 491-nucleotide ribosomal RNA is filed under the name uncultured bacterium. RNAcentral's name for it is "partial 16S ribosomal RNA". It matches the Rfam family "Bacterial small subunit ribosomal RNA", at positions 28 to 507 of the family's 1533-position model. The record is from RNAcentral.
GAUGAACGCUAGCUACAGGCUUAACACAUGCAAGUCGAGGGGAAACGAUGAGAGAGCUUGCUCUCUUAGUCGUCGACCGGCGCACGGGUGAGUAACGCGUAUCCAACCUGCCUCUGACCAAGGUAUAACCCGUCGAAAGUCGGACUAAUACCUUAUGCAGUCGUCGGAAGUCAUCUGAUGACGACGAAAGAUUUCAUCGGUGAGAGAUGGGGAUGCGUCUGAUUAGCUUGUUGGCGGGGUAACGGCCCACCAAGGCGACGAUCAGUAGGGGUUCUGAGAGGAAGGUCCCCCACAUUGGAACUGAGACACGGUCCAAACUCCUACGGGAGGCAGCAGUGAGGAAUAUUGAUCAAUGGGCGUAAGCCUGAACCAGCCAAGUAGCGUGCAGGAUGACGGCCCUAUGGGUUGUAAACUGCUUUUAUGCGGGGAUAAAGUGAGGGACGUGUCCUUCAUUGCAGGUACCGCAUGAAUAAGGACCGGCUAAUUCCGUG